Molecule: unclassified non-coding RNA, 1219 nt
Filed under: Zea mays
Lineage: Eukaryota; Viridiplantae; Streptophyta; Magnoliopsida; Poales; Poaceae
Description: misc RNA Zm00001eb004680
Source: RNAcentral
CGCGAUCAUCUCUACUUCGCCGUGGUGUUAUUGCUCAUGGAGCUCAACUUCUGCGCCAGCGCGUCGACGUACCAAGCCGGUCGUCUCCUCUCCGGCGGCAGCGUCUCAGCCUCCGCACCGCCCUUCAUCCCUUCGUUCAGCAGCUCCUCCCAAAAGUCGUCGGUGAGCUCCGCCGUCUCGAACCCGCCCUGCUGCUGGCUCCGCGCGCGGCCACCCUGCUUCUCGCUCCCGUCCUGCCUGCGCUUGCCGAGCCCCUGGAUGUUGAGCGCCAGGUUCUCCAGCUCCGACGUGGUCCCUCGCUCGUCCAGCUCCGCGAACAGCGCCCGCGUGGCGGUGGGGUCGUCGUCGUCGCCCUGCUGCUGCUCCUCCUCCUGCUGCUGCAAGCCGCCGUUGGCCGGCGCGGCGCCGAUGGGCCGCCUCCGCUUCCGGGAGGCGGCGGAGAGCAGCGCCGCGCCCUCCAGCUCCCUCCGCCGGGCUUGCUGCUGUGCCAGCAGCUGGAACAAGUCUGGGCUCUGCACCGCCCGCGCCAGGAACCCCAUCAUCUGCACCUGCUUGUGCUCCGCGUGCCGCAGCCGCUCCUCCAUGGCCCGCAUGCCCGCCCGCGUGCUCUGCUGCUCCUGCCGCAGCUUCACCACCUCCGCCAGCAGGAUGCUCUUGUCACGCCUCAGCCGCUCCAUCUCUCCGUCCAGCCCUCCGAACCGGCCCACCUCCAGGCACGACCCCUGCGACUGCGACGCCUGGAGGUACGGCGGCGGUGGCGCCGGCCUUCGACGCUUGAUCAGCCGGAGAAGAUGCCUCUGGCCCCUCAGGAAUCCUUCGUUCGCGAACUCCCAGCUGUCCGGGUCGAUCUUUCUGAAGCCCUGCACGUCGCAAAGCGAUGAACACGCGCAGCGUUCAGUAAGCUGCAUUUCCAGAAGCCAUCACACACUAAGAAUCGACAAAUGCCGACGCUGAGCCAAUUAACAAGACAAGAUGGCAAAUUUAUGUAAAACUUUAGGUUUCACAUAAGUUUUGCGACCGAAUUUACAGGCACGGGCAGUGGUAUACACUAGCAGUAUAUUGCUUGGUGGUGAGUGGUGAUCAAAGGAGUGAGUCUUCUUUAUCUUUAGGACAAACAAGCAGUUUGUUUCUUUCUCGUAGGCUGUAGUAGCUUCGUUCAUCCCUUGUCCUGGUCCAUCUAGCUACACAGUAACAAGGCGAACAAAGAGCAUGUCAGAGG